Molecule: ribosomal RNA, 486 nt
Filed under: uncultured bacterium
Lineage: Bacteria
Description: bacterial SSU rRNA
Rfam family: Bacterial small subunit ribosomal RNA
Source: RNAcentral
AUUGAACGCUGGCGGAAUGCUUUACACAUGCAAGUCGAACGGCAGCAUAGGUGCUUGCACCUGAUGGCGAGUGGCGAACGGGUGAGUAAUACAUCGGAACGUGCCCAGUCGUGGGGGAUAACGUAGCGAAAGUUACGCUAAUACCGCAUACGAUCUACGGAUGAAAGCGGGGGACCGUAAGGCCUCGCGCGAUUGGAGCGGCCGAUGUUAGAUUAGGUAGUUGGUGAGGUAAAGGCUCACCAAGCCGACGAUCUAUAGCUGGUCUGAGAGGAUGAUCAGCCACACUGGGACUGAGACACGGCCCAGACUCCUACGGGAGGCAGCAGUGGGGAAUUUUGGACAAUGGGCGCAAGCCUGAUCCAGCCAUUCCGCGUGCAGGACGAAGGCCUUCGGGUUGUAAACUGCUUUUGUACAGAACGAAAAGCCUUGGGUUAAUACCCUGGGGUCAUGACGGUACUGUAAGAAUAAGCACCGGCUAACUACGUG